GGAAAAGAGUACUGUAGGACCUUUGCCAAUUGCAUUGUAGAUUCCUGGAACUAAUCCUCAGGAGGAUCCUAAAAGGCUGUGAACAUAUGCAGUGAAGUAUUUGACCAAUCCAUGCAAAAGCAGUCCUACAACAUGACCAUAAAACCAUGCCUUGACUUAAUCCAUGGAGGAUUAUGUCCACUAAUCACUGUUGUUCCCUGUGCCUGAAGCAAAAGGUGGAAAGAGACAUCACGUGUUUGAAUGCAGGUCACCUCCCACUGCCUACAGAGAGGAUUUUCCCAGGUAUGGAAGUUCAGCUGAGAGGUGUGCAGUUUCCUGGGUCCACUUUUUCCAUUUUUUAAAAAAUGGGAACAACGUUAGCUUCUCUCCAAUCUUCCAGCAUUUCCCCUGUACUCCAGAACUUCUUAACUGCAAAAUGCCAAAUGACCUUCUUCUCAACUAAGCCAAACCAAAAUAAGGACUGCAUUCUGUAGAUUUAUCCCUACUUAGUGCAGCAAGUAUAGCAAUAUACUAAAGCCUACAACUACAACUUAAAUCCACGGGACUUAAAACUGCUUAACAGUGUUGGAUCAUAUGGUUUGACAGAUUGUAUUAUGACUGUCUCUGAAUGAAGGUUAGGUUGUUUUCCAUUUCACUUCAAACCUAAGAGGGUCCUUCCCUCUUCUGUUACUCUGAGAAAGCAUACUUGAUCUCCAGAGCAAUUCCAUUUAUCUUGGACCAUCUCCCUCAAUAUAUGUGAGUCACAAAGGAAUACUUCAAAAGCUGCCUUCUUGAGCCUCCAGCCACUCCUCCUGAAAGGAUGAAUGAAAAUAUUCAGUCCUCCAGACCUAUGGUUGCAAUCACAUGUCAGUGCCAAAAUAGAGGCCAGUUUGCAAUUCGUGAAUGCAGGGGUGUCUCAGCAGGAACCUAGGUCAGUGUUUAUGAAAAAUUUCCCCCACAGUCCCAAAAAUCAAUUCAGUGCAAAAUACUAUACCAGGCCUUAGGUCAAUCACUGGCUCUCUUAUGAGAGAGUGGUGUUAAAUCUAUCAUGUAACAUUUGAAAUGACUAAAGGAACCUGAUCCAACUCCCUUGUCAGUUCAUUGACAGGAAGCAAAUGAAGAGCUACAGUGAGUUUCUCUCCUUUGGAAUGUUGAUAAUGCUCAAGAGAGUAACAAGGAAGCUAUAAAAAACCUGCAGAUCAACUACGGAGUUGUGUUUCUCAUGAGAAAAUAUGGCAUCACAUGAUGCUGCAGUUAGGCAAAAGAGCAGGCAGAGAUAAGUCCUUAUGAAUAAGUCCUUAUGAAUAAAAAUCUUCUUAUCAUAGCCAACACAUUGGUUUGCUGCCAUACAGAUGUAAGGAGAGUCCUGCUGGGUUCAAAUAAAGGUCUUUUUAGCUCAAG
Molecule: long non-coding RNA, 1380 nt
Organism: Python bivittatus (Burmese python)
Lineage: Eukaryota; Metazoa; Chordata; Lepidosauria; Squamata; Pythonidae
Source: RefSeq, a predicted model, not a curated record